RNAcentral lists this ribosomal RNA (465 nucleotides) under uncultured bacterium. RNAcentral's name for it is "partial 16S ribosomal RNA". It matches the Rfam family "Bacterial small subunit ribosomal RNA", at positions 338 to 795 of the family's 1533-position model. The record is from RNAcentral.
CCUACGGGAGGCAGCAGUGAGGAAUAUUGGUCAAUGGACGCAAGUCUGAACCAGCCAUGCCGCGUGAGGGAUGAAGGUCUUCGGAUCGUAAACCUCUGUCAGCAGGGAAGAACGGUCACUGUGCUAAUCAGCAGUGAAUUGACGGUACCUGCAAAGGAAGCACCGGCUAACUCCGUGCCAGCAGCCGCGGUAAUACGGAGGGUGCGAGCGUUAAUCGGAAUUACUGGGCGUAAAGCGCUCGUAGGCGGUAUGUCAAGUCAAGGGUGAAAUCCCCGCGCUCAACGUGGGAACUGCCUUUGAAACUGGCAAACUGGAGUGUGUGAGAGGAUAGUGGAAUUCCAGGUGUAGGAGUGAAAGCCGUAGAUAUCUGGAGGAACAUCAGUGGCGAAGGCGACUAUCUGGCACAUAACUGACGCUGAGGAGCGAAAGCGUGGGUAGCAAACAGGAUUAGAUACCCCUGUAGUC